GCAGCCGCGGUAAUACGGGGGAUGCAAGCGUUAUCCGGAUUUAUUGGGUUUAAAGGGUGCGUAGGCGGUGAAUUAAGUCAGCGGUGAAAUUUAGGGGCUCAACCUCUACCGUGCCGUUGAUACUGGUUCGCUGGAAUGCGGAUGCCGUGGGAGGAAUGUGUGGUGUAGCGGUGAAAUGCAUAGAUAUCACACAGAACACCGAUUGCGAAGGCAUCUCACGAAUCCGCAAUUGACGCUGAGGCACGAAAGCGUGGGGAUCAAACAGGAUUAGAUACCCC
This 278-nucleotide ribosomal RNA is filed under the name uncultured Prevotella sp. Its description in RNAcentral is "partial 16S ribosomal RNA". It matches the Rfam family "Bacterial small subunit ribosomal RNA", at positions 511 to 788 of the family's 1533-position model. Lineage: Bacteria; Pseudomonadati; Bacteroidota; Bacteroidia; Bacteroidales; Prevotellaceae. The record is from RNAcentral.